CCACAUUCUACCCAAAUGAUGAUACCAAGAACAAGCUUUUUACUAAAGAUAUUGAGCCACGACCAAGUGCCACAUUCUACCCAAAUGAUGAGAGCAAGGACAGGUUUUUUACUAAAGAUAUUGAGCCACGACCAAGUGCCACAUUCUAUCCAAAUGAUGAUACUAAGAACAAGCUUUUUACUAAAGAUAUUGAGCCACGACCAAGUGCCACAUUCUACCCAAAUGAUGAUGCAAACAAAAAGUUUUUUACUAAAGAUAUUGAGCCGCGACCAAGUGUCACAUUCUACCCAAAUAAUGAUAGCAAGAACAAGCUUUUCAUUAAAAAUAUUGAGUCACGACUAAGUACCACGGAAUGAUUACGCCAAGAACAACCUUUUCAGGAAAGAUAUGCAAUCCUUUGGUUACGUUAUAUGAUCAACUGUAUAUGUGUGGUUGGUAAUUUACAUUUCUGUUGAUUAUUGUGGCAUGUUAAGUAUGUGUGGUUGGUAAUUUACAUUUCUGUUGAAUAUUGUGGAAUGUUAAGUUGUAAAAUAAAUAAAUAAUUUGUGGAAAAUAAUGAUUAUGUGAGCAAAGCUUUCUCAUGGGAUGAUUGUUAGAUUUAUUUUUAAUAUAAUAUUAUUAUUAAUAUGAUAUAUAUGCAUUAUAUGAUAAUUUAUUUCUUUCGGGUCUAUUAUUUUGUAUUAAGUAAAUUAGGUAAAAAAAUAACGUCUUAACUAAACAAUCAUGAUUUGUGACAUCUGUAAAUAGAACCUUAGAGAUUGAUCAUCUCACUGCUUCAUUCAAGUAGUUUACUAUUUUCUAUCAAAAAAAUUUAAUUAAGUUAAGAGAGGUCAAGUGAGAUAAACACAAUCUAUUAAAGAACCAUUUAUGGAUGAAGGUAUGUGAUUCUGUUAGUGAGUUUGAUUUAUGAAAAUUUUCCAUUGACGUGUAAAAAUAUAAUUUUAUGUUUCUACUGAAAAAUAAUUUUGUUUCGACUUUUCUUUAAUAGAUGAAGAACUAUAUUGGAUAAGAAAAGAUUAACACAAUAAUAAUAUUAAAUAAAUGAAUGAAUGGAUAAACUAUGAUGAACACGUAAAUUAUGUAUCAGUCGUAUUUUGUGUUAUGGUUAUAUAAUGAUAAUGAUAUAAAGUAUGAUUUAGAGUAUUCACUUAUCCCAGUGAUUUUAAUUAUGUUGUUUAGAUGGAAUGAUAGUUUGAUAAAAUUAUUUGCAAUAUUAGUAUGUUUGCAAAUUUUGUGAUUAGAAUUACUUAAGAGUUAUGUUAUUUGAUAUCUAUAUGUUAGGAAUAAUUUGUUAGUCACCAAAUUGACCAAAUUAGUAAGUUAUAUAGAUAUGAAAUGAAACUUAAUUGAUGAAAAAUCUUUUAUCUUCUUAUUAUGAAAAAGAAAAAUAAAAAUAAAGAAGAGGAUAAAGAUCAUCAACAGAUAAUUACACUGUCAAGAUUAGAGUUUCCAAAAUUCAUAUAUUUUUUUUAUUAAAAUUAUCCGAGAUUAAUUACAUUUUUAAUUACUCCAUUAAUAAUGUUACUAUUUUUUCAUGAUUGAGUUGCUCAACUUUAAAAUAUAAUAAAUUAUACAUGUUUAAAUUCCAUAAAAUUUGGUAUAAUAAAUUAUGUUUUAUUGUCCUUUUCCGUUAUAUUUAAAUCACAAAUAGUUUAAAGCAUCUAUUUAUUUGUGAUUAUUUGAUAUCUAUAGUAUAAAUAAUUUGUUAAUCACCAAAAUGAUCAAAUUAUUACGUAAUUUAUAAAUAUCAAAUUAAAGUUAUGUUAGUUCAAUUAUCCAUGUUUGUGAUUGUUUUGUUACAAUAUAUCUAUGUUAUGAUCAAUUUGUUGGUCAUCAAAGUGGCAAAAUUAGUAAGUCUUAUAGAUAUAUUCCAUAUUGUUUUGAAAAUGAUGAAAAUUAAAUAAUUAUUUGUGAUUAUUUUAAUAUGAUAUCUAUAUUAUGAAUAAUUUGUUAGUCAUCAAAGUGGCCAAGUUAGUAAAUUUAAUAGAUAUCAAAUUGAAGUUGAUUCAACUACGCAUGUUCACUUGAUGCUAAUGAAUGAGAUGAUAUUAUGAAACAUUAAUGAUUGUCAUGAGUGUAUUGAUCUUCGUUAUUAUAAAACAUUUAAUUUGACCAAAGGUAAUUAGUAAUUUUAUAAUUUAGAAUCUUAUUAUGGUUAAUUGAGGUGUUUGGUUAGAUAUUAUUAGUAUAUCUAAAUAUAACUAAUGUAUCUAAUUUAAGCAUUUAAAUUACCAAUUAUAUGAAACUAAAUCUAGCAUUAGUUAAGUAUAAAUAUUAUACAUUGUUUGUGCCUUCCAAAGAAGAACUUCAAUGUAUAAGCUAAUGAUUAUUUAAUAUUAUUUGAAUAUGUGUUGUAUCUUUAUGUUUAUUUCUCAAAGCAAUAAUGUAUAAGCAUGUUUAUUUUGUAAUUAAUUGCAUCAUCUGCUCUUGUUUCUAUUUAUUUGCAUGCUACAUCUAUAAUUCAGUUAAUUAACUCUAUUUUUUUUUUAUUGGUGCAAACAAAUUCGACUCUAUCUUGGGGUUUUGGUUCUUGAUUUGACACUUCUUAAGUGAAAGAUUUGUUGCACUAAUUUUUGCUAGUAGUGAUGAUGAUAAAUCUUUCUAUAAAGUUUGGGAGAGAUCAAAUAGAUUGAGUCUAGUAAUGUUUAUGUGAAUGGUUGUAGCAAACAAUAUCAAGUCCACAAUUACAAUAUUGAAAAUGCUAAGAAUUUUAUAAAAUUUAUGGAAAAUAUGAUGAGAAGGCACAUUGUUUUGAUCCAUUUGCUAAAUUCCUAGAAAGUCAUGGUAUAUAUAUGUGCUCAAUACACAAUACCAGGAACGUCACAACAAAGUGGUAUUACACCGGUGUAAUUGUACAUUAAUGAAUAUGGUUAGAAGCAUGUUUAUCUUUACAUGUGUCCUUGUGGAUGUAUGCAUUAAAAACCUCUCAAUAUUUAUUAAACAAGGUUUCUAGUAAGUUAAUUCUAAAGAUAUCUUUUGAAUUGUGGAGAGUAAGAAAACCUAGUUUAAGACACCUAUAUAUUUGGGGUUGUCAAGACGAAGUAAGAAUUUAUAAUCCACACGAAAGAAAACUGAAUUAUAUUAAAAAAAAAAACAACCAAUGGUUUCUUCAUUGGUCAUCCAGAAAAAUCAAAAGGCUAUAGAUUUUAUUGUUUUAACAACAGUAUAGGAAUAGCUGAAACUGAAAAUGUAAGAUUGAUUCCUUAGAAUGACGUAAUUAGUGGAAGUUUGAAACCACCUAAAGUUGAAAUUCAAGAAGUUAGGGUGGAAAGUUUUUCAUCUAUAACUUCUUCACAAAUUGUUGUUCAUGUAGCUAUUGACUCUAUUAACAAUCCACAAGAAUAACAAAUUAAUGGUCAAUUAAUGGUCAAACACCACAUAAUGAUGUUAUAACAAAUGAACCUAUAACUAAUGGACUACAAGAAAUAGAGUUAAGAAUAUAUGUAAGACAAAGAAGAUCAGCUAUUUCGGAUGACUGUGUAAUUUAUUUGCAUGAGUUAGAAUUUGACUUAAGUAUUAAUAAUGAUCCAGUUUCAUUUUCACAAGCCAUUAAAGAAGAUAAUUCUGCCAAAUGGUUAGAUGCGAUGAAAGAAGAGUUGAAAUCUAUGAAUGAUAAUGAAGUUUGGACCUUAUAGAAUUGCCUAAAGGAAGUAAAAGAGUUGAGUGUAAAUGGGUCUUUAAGACCAAACAUGACUCAAAUGGCAAUAUCGAAUGACACAAGGCUAGACUUGUUGCCAAAGGUUAUACUCAGAAAGAUGAUAUUGACUACAAAGAGUCUUUUUCACCUGUCUCGAAAAAUAACUCAUUAAGAAUUUAGUAGCUCAUUAUGAUUUAGAGGUUCAUCAAAUGGAUGUGAAAAAUACCUUUCUAAAUGGGAAUUUAGAUGAACAAUUGUUCAUGGAUCAACCAGAAGGUUUUAUGGUUGAAGGAAAGGAACAUAUGAUGUGUAAAUUAAAGAGGUCAAUAUGCAGACUUAAACAAGCUUCUAAACAAUGGUACAUCUUAAGUGCAAUGAUACCAUCACAUCUUUUGGUUUUAAAGAAAACAUUGUUGAUCGAUGUAUAUACCUAAGGAUCAAUUGGAGUAAAUUUAACUAUAAUCCUUGUUUUAUAUGCCUACUUACAAGAGAUCUAAUCAUCUUGAGAUGAUUGAAUAUUUAGAUUCAGAUUUUGUCGGAUGUGUAGAUACAAGAAAAUUCACUUUUGGCUAUUUGUUUCUAUUAGCUGAAGGAGCAAUUUCAUGAAAAAAUGUGAAGCAAUGUAUUGUUGGUGCAUCCCCUAUGGAGGUUGAAUUUGUAGGAUGCUUUGAGGCUACAAUUCAUGUUUUAUGGCUGCAUAACUUUAUCUUAGGACUUGGAAUUAUCGACAAUAUUGCCAAGCCGCUGAGAAUUUAUUGUGAUAACUUUGCAAUAGUUUUCUUCUAAAAACGACAAGUAUUCUAAAAGUGCUAAAUAUAUGAAAUUAAAAUAUUUUGUUGUUAAAGAAGAAAUUUAAAAACAAAGAAUGUCAAUCAAACACAUUAGCACUAAACUUAUGAUUGCAGAUCUACUAACAACAGGGAAUGUCACCAAGGACAUUCAAUGAUCAUGUUCAACAUAUGGGCAUUAGUAGAUAUCAUUAUUGAAAUCAAGAUUAUGGUUCUGUUCAUAUGAUUAGUAUAUACAUAAAUGAAUUAUGUAAAUCAAAGAGGACAUUGUCUUUGAUAAAGACACUUAUUGUUGGACCGUUAUUGAUUAUCUUUAUUAUAGAUCAUGUUAAUAGAAGAACUAUUUUAGUGAUACAAGGAAGAGAGUAUGUUAAUGCAAUGAUGUAUGACCAUCAUGAUUCUUUAGUAGUUUCUUUGGACUUGACAUGAUAUAUUACGAAGUCUAAUUUUGAGCAUUAUGUCUUUGUUAAGUAAUGUCAAUGUGGGCCAAGUGGGAGAAUGUUAAAUUUAUUUUAAAUUAAUAUUAUUAUUAACGUGGCCCAUUUAUGCAUUAUGUGUUAUUUUAUCUCUUUCAGACCUAUUAUUUUUAUAAGUUCAUUAGGUAAAAAAAAUAAUGUCCUAAUUAAACACCAUGAUAUGUGGUAUCUAUAAGCAGAACCUUAGGGUUUAGUCCUCUCACUAUCUCAUUGAAGUAGUUUACUCUUCCCCAUUAAGAAACUUAAUUAAGUUAAGAGAGGUCAAGUGAGAGAAACACAAUCUUAUAGAAAACCAUUCAUGGAUCCAGGUAUGUGAUUUUCUGACUAAGUUUAAUUUGUGAAAAUCAUUUAGUUCAAAGAUCUUGACAAUUAUUUUUUUAUAAAAUGUUAUGGUUUUAUUGUACAAACAUGAAAAUAAAACUUACAAUGAUUUGCUUCAACUUACCAGUCAACUUUCCCUAUAUCAAGUCAAAUGCAGUGCAGUUGGAUUAUUAUUAGAGAAAAAAUAAUUUUUUUCUCUUUUAUAAUUUAUUAGAAAUAUUUUUAAAUAUGGUAAAAUGAACCACGAUAUUAAUAACAUUUUUAUCAUUUAUAAUAAUUUUUCUUUUAUAGUUUAAAUUGCUAUUAUAAUCAAAUUAGGAGUGAAGGACACAUAUGUAAUAGGGAAAUUGCAAUAGAUGACAAAUAAAAUUAUAAAAAAACAACUCAUAACUCCUCUUUUUUACAUAAUUGCAAAUUUAGCAAAUAUGACUAGUAAUUGACGAUAAUCGUCUGUUUUUAAAUUUGUCAUUUUUGCAAUUUAGAAAAUGAGAGUUUGCAAUAAUAGCAAAAACAUUUAUAAUAAUAGAGCUCAUGUAAUCUAUAUUUUCUAAAUUGCAAAAUCACAAAUUUAAAAGCAGAUUACAGUCUAAUUAUCAUAAAUUACUAGUCAUAUUUGUCAAAUUUGCAAUAUGCAAAAAACGUGUUUUGAACUGUUUUUUCUAAUUUAUUUUAUCAUUUAAUGCAAUUUCUAUUUAAAAAAUGUAACUUACAUGAGUUUUAUUAUCAUAAUUUUUUUUUCUUUUUUGCCAUUUUUACAAACUCUCUCUCCUAUAUAAUAUGAGUGGUUGGGUUCAAGAAUUAUUGAUAAAAAUGUUCAAGAAUAAAGUAUUAACACAAGAAUUAUUGUUGUUGUUAGAAACAUAGCUAAGAAUAAUUUAGCAUUUUGGGGAAGUAAUAAAAAAAAUUAUCAAGAAAAUAAUGGGAUUUUUUUUAGCUUCAUUGAAAUAAUUGAUCCAAUAAUGCAAGCACAUUUUCGUCGCUUACAAAAUAAUUUUAAAAAAAAGGUAAAAUAUAAAUGAUCGAUUGUUUUUUAUUAAAAACUUAAGAACUUUAUAUUUUCGUACCUAAUUGUAUCCAUAAAUUUUUUAAAAAAAUUAUAAGACCAAAAUUAUGAUUAUUAACCAUUAUUUUCUCUAUAAAUAGUAAGUUUUGAGCUCAUGUGCACAGAACGAAGGCAGGAUACUAAGAUAUGAAGAUCAAACCAACAUUUGGAAUUACUCUCUUUUUGCUUCUUUUGGUAUGAAUUUCCUUUUUCUCAAUCUCUUUUUUUUGAGUUUUUUUUCAAUACAGAUAAAUGUUGGUCUAUAGGUUUCAUGGACUUGGAUUUUUUUUGUUUGUUUUUUUGAAGUAAGUCUAUUUCUUUUUAUUUUCUUACCAUGAUUUGCAUCUUUUCUUGAGUACACGAGUCAAAUUCUUGGCUAGAUUUCAAAAACAAAAAUAAGUUUUGAAAACUAACUAGCUAGUUGUUUUUUAGUUUUCAAAAUUUGACAUGAUUUUUUAAAACAUUACUGGAAAGUAGAUCACAACAGGAGAAAUUUAGCGGGCGUUUGGGGUUAAGAGUGACUUCUAAUAGUACGAGGAUUAUAAUAGUCUGUGUAGGGGUGUAGACUACUAUUUCAGUUUUUGUCUUAUUGCUUCCUUAAUUUGUGGUGGAUACUCUUAAGAUUUCCACUUUAACUUGACCUUCUACUUUUACUUGAUAAAUAUUUGGAAAUUAGUGGGAGAGAGGGUGUGAGGAGGAGGAGAAAGAGGAAUGAAAACAAGUAUGAUCAUGAUACUAGGGUUACAAAAAUAUUAAUCCUAGUACUAUCGUAAUAGGGUUACGAAAAUCUUAAUCCUAGUACUAUCGUAAUAUAGAGUAGACUAACUCACUCUACUUCUCUCUAUCCCAUGGCCCAACAGCCCCAAAUAGUGUUGUAGAUAUAAUUUUCCCAAACUAAAAACUAAAACACCAAAGGAUUAUUAAUUAAUAGACUUUAAGAAACUUGUUUAUAAAUUUUACCAAAUAAAAUAUGUGUUGCAAGAAAUUAAACCCAUGAAAUUAAUUUAUGGUAAUCUCUCUUAUUUUUCUUUCUUUGUUGUCAUGGUGGGGCAUUAUUUAGUUUUUCAACGGCAUAGAGUCAAGGUAUGAACCCGGAGGACAAUGGAAAAAUGUGAUUGAAGAUGACUCAUUACCAGUUGUAUCACAAGAAAAAGAAGAUUGCUUUAAAUACAAAAGCCUUAAAAAUGAAAAUACUUUUUUCAACGAUACAAAACCACGACCAAGUAUCACAUUCUACCCAAAUGAUGGAAGCAAGGACAAGCUUUUUAUUAAAGAUAUUGAGCCACGACCAAGUGCCACAUUCUACCCAAAUGAUGAGAGCAAGGACAAACUUUUUACUAAAGAUAUUGAGCCACGACCAAGUCUCACAUUCUACCCAAAUGAUGAUACCAAGGACAAACUUUUUACUAAAGAUAUUGAGCCACGACCAAGUCUCACAUUCUACCCAAAUGAUGAUACCAAGAACAAGCUUUUUACUAAAGAUAUUGAGCCACGACCAAGUCUCACAUUCUACCCAAAUGAUGAUACCAAGAACAAGCUUUUUACUAAAGAUAUUGAGCCACGACCAAGUCUCACAUUCUACCCAAAUGAUGAUACCAAGAACAAGCUUUUUACUAAAGAUAUUGAACCACG
This 7896-nucleotide long non-coding RNA is filed under the name Cucumis sativus (cucumber). RNAcentral describes it as "long non-coding RNA (CSAT_LNC002805)". Lineage: Eukaryota; Viridiplantae; Streptophyta; Magnoliopsida; Cucurbitales; Cucurbitaceae. The record is from RNAcentral.